This 617-nucleotide long non-coding RNA is filed under the name Homo sapiens (human). RNAcentral describes it as "HSALNT0256000". Lineage: Eukaryota; Metazoa; Chordata; Mammalia; Primates; Hominidae. The record is from RNAcentral.
AAACAAUGGAGCUGAUUCAGGGUCAGGUGGGUCGAAGCCUCUGGACAGCAUCCUUAGACAUCAAGCAACAUUGCCUUCCCUGUGCCUAGCCUGGCAUGGCCUCUUUGAGGGUGCAGCCAAAAUGGCCCCUCAAUGAACAAAUGAAAAAGAUGCAACGACGACUGCUACUCCCAUUCAUGAAGGGACUCCACUCGCAGGUAUCACACCAACCCUGGUCCUGACGCUUUUCCUUCCUUACCCUUGCCUCAAAGAGUCUUCCUCUAGCCUUUCAUCCUGUAUCCCACCUUCUCCCAUUGAUUGAGGGCUUCCUGCGCUCCAGGGGCUCCAACAGUCUUCACAGACAACCAGGCAUUCAGUAACCUGUGCUGCUGGGACUAUUUCCAUUUUUUUUUUUUUUUGGAGACAGAGUCUUACUGUCGAGGCUGGAGUGCAGUGGCAUGAUCUCAGCUCACUGCAACCUCCACCUCCCAGGUUCAAGUGAUUCUCCUGCCUCAGCCUCCCGAGUAGCUGGGAUUACAGGUAUGCACCACCAUGCCUGGCUAAUUUUUGUAUUUUUAGUAGAGUCAGGGUUUCACCACGUUGGCCAGGCUGGUCUUGAACCCCUGACCUCAGGUGAU